AUUGAACGCUGGCGGCAGGCUUAAUACAUGCAAGUCGAGGGGCAGCACGGUUAGCAAUAACUGGUGGCGACCGGCGCACGGGUGCGUAACACGUAUACAAUCUACCUUAAACAGGGGGAUAGCCUUUCGAAAGAGAGAUUAAUACCCCGUAAUAAAUUGAACGGCAUCGUUUGAUUUUGAAAGCUCCGGCGGUUUGAGAUGAGUAUGCGUCUGAUUAGCUAGUUGGUGAGGUAACGGCUCACCAAGGCGACGAUCAGUAGGGGAUCUGAGAGGACUAACCCCCACACUGGUACUGAGACACGGACCAGACUCCUACGGGGGGCAGCAGUAAGGAAUAUUGGUCAAUGGAGGCAACUCUGAACCAGCCAUGCCGCGUGCAGGAUGACGGCCCUAUGGGUUGUAAACUGCUUUUAUACGAGAGAAAACCCUGGUACGUGUACCAGGUUGAUAGUAUUGUAAGAAUAAGCAUCGGCUAACUUCGUGCCAGCAGCCGCGGUAAU
Molecule: ribosomal RNA, 500 nt
Filed under: uncultured bacterium
Lineage: Bacteria
Description: bacterial SSU rRNA
Rfam family: Bacterial small subunit ribosomal RNA
Source: RNAcentral